This 201-nucleotide non-coding RNA is filed under the name Streptosporangium roseum. RNAcentral also lists the same sequence under 1 other name. The record is from RNAcentral. Lineage: Bacteria; Bacillati; Actinomycetota; Actinomycetes; Streptosporangiales; Streptosporangiaceae.
AGGAUCCUGCUCGUUGCUGGUUCGCCCUUCGGGGGCGAGGCAAGAGGGAACCCGGUGAGAUUCCGGGACUGCCCCGCAGCGGUGAACGGGAACGACCGCCGUCAUGAGAGCACUGGGCGCAGUUUGCCUGGGAAGCGACGGCCAGUAGGCGUGUGCGAGGCGCCCGUGAGUCCGAAAACCUGCCGGUGACGUGUGGAAGAG